RNAcentral lists this long non-coding RNA (220 nucleotides) under Zostera marina. RNAcentral describes it as "long non-coding RNA (ZMAR_LNC005810)". Lineage: Eukaryota; Viridiplantae; Streptophyta; Magnoliopsida; Alismatales; Zosteraceae. The record is from RNAcentral.
GUGUAAAACACUAUCAAGCAAGUUGACUCAGUAUUCAUAUACUGUGGUAAGCUUCGAAGAGUAAUAAUUACGUUAUUAUAUCAAUCAAAGUUAUAAUAUCUUUAUAUCAUUAUUGUUCAACCAUUUGUUUAUUAAGCGUUUACAGGUAAUUCCGCAAUCAACCUGUAUAAAUCGAAAAGAGGCUAUUAUCCCCCCUUAUAGCCUCGGAUCUCGAUCCAAC